UUCAAGUAACAAAAUACAACAUAUUGUUAUUGCAUCUAUCUAAAAAUGAACUGUGGUACAUUAAAUAGCAACACUUCAUCAAUCUGUACAUCGACCUAUACCAUUUGCUAUGAAGAAGGACCAAGGUUCAUGUAACAUACACAAUUGUCAUAUCAAAUGGGUAACUAUUUAGGUAUUAAUAACUGCCACAAUCGUAAGAUGUAGUUGUUUACAAUUGAAUGGUGCACAUAACUGCAGUGUUAAAAUCCAAAGGGCAAUGAAAUGGUGGCUUUGUAAUGAGUGAUCUCCAUGUCUUCUUCCUGGGAUGGUAGAUUUGGAUGAAAAUUGAUCCAGCCCCCUUCUGCUGUCUUGACCUUCGACUUUCUGUUGAAUCACCUCCUUUCAGGAAAGUCAUUACAUGCAGCUCCCCAUCCAUCACAACAAAACCACAUGAGGAGUUGCAAGGAGCUUUUCUUGGUACCGCAGACUCAUUUUGCCAAGAGUUUGAAACCAUGUCAUACCUGAAAAUGUCAUUAUUGUCAAGCAUAAAAACACCAGGUCGGUCCCAAUCACAGUCCUCAACGACCACAAUCUUCCCAAGCCUUGCUCUCUCCCCUUCCCGCCACAUAUCCCCAACGUCCCUCCACUUGCCACACCCAUUCUUCUUCACAUCCAUGAC
RNAcentral lists this unclassified non-coding RNA (658 nucleotides) under Hevea brasiliensis (rubber tree). The record is from RNAcentral. Lineage: Eukaryota; Viridiplantae; Streptophyta; Magnoliopsida; Malpighiales; Euphorbiaceae.